UGAAUCUCGGUAAUCAAUGGCCAUAGACGUGUUGUACAUUGGAACACACGACGAGAUAGGUGAAUCGAGGAGGCCGGGACAGAGAUGGAUACUCUGGAAAAAGACGGCCUGAGAAUUUGAUCAUCGUGUCAAGAUGAGCGUCAGGGGAAGGCCAUAACACAUGCAAGCCGAGCGGUAUUGUUUCUUCGGAAAUGAGAGAGCGGCGUACGGGUGCGGAACACGUGUGCAACCUGCCUUUAUCUGGGGGAUAGCCUUUCGAAAGGAAGAUUAAUACUCCAUAAUAUAUUGAACGGCAUCGUUUAAUAUUGAAAGCUCCGGCGGAUAGAGAUGGGCACGCGCAAGAUUAGCUAGUUGGUGAGGUAACGGCUCACCAAGGCGAUGAUCUUUAGGGGGCCUGAGAGGGUGAUCCCCCACACUGGUACUGAGACACGGACCAGACUCCUACGGGAGGCAGC
RNAcentral lists this ribosomal RNA (455 nucleotides) under uncultured bacterium. RNAcentral's name for it is "bacterial SSU rRNA". The stretch from base 105 to 455 matches the Rfam family "Bacterial small subunit ribosomal RNA", at positions 1 to 352 of the family's 1533-position model. The record is from RNAcentral.